RNAcentral lists this long non-coding RNA (395 nucleotides) under Daucus carota (carrot). Its description in RNAcentral is "long non-coding RNA (DCAR_LNC007318)". Lineage: Eukaryota; Viridiplantae; Streptophyta; Magnoliopsida; Apiales; Apiaceae. The record is from RNAcentral.
GUUUAACACAUAGAAUUUAACAAUUCUUGAAGCUAAAAACGAAAUCAAAGACAUCCCAAGCGAUCCAAAUUGCACCAACAUCUCUGGAAAUAAUAACAUCGCAAUUGACCAUAUCACAUAAAAACCAUUGUUAGCCAAAUGUUCAGAAACACCAACCGCAUAAAUUGAGAUUGGAGAAGCGGUACCACAGCUAUCUACAUGCCGGACACCAGCUAUAGACAUGCCCAAGACACCCCAGCUAUCUACAUGCCGGAUACCAGCUAUAGACAUGCCGAAAGUGUAAACCCGUGAAUGAUGAACGAUCUUUGGUUGUGAAAGGUGAGCUCUUGCAAUAAUCACCACCGUCUCAGAUUCGAUACAGUUUUUGCAGAUCACCAGAAAUAUCAAUAAACUCN